AACGCACAUUGCGCCUUCUGGUAUUCCGGGAGGCACGUCCGUUUGAGCGUCAGCUUAAUCCCUCCGAGCAGCGGUUUUUGUGCCGCGGCCCGGGCCUUUGGCGUGGGGAAGUGACCGCGGCGCCCCGGCGCCUUCGGUUUCCCUUGCUUAAACGUGGAGAAAGCUAGCCGGCGAUGCCCCAGCUGCAACGACUUGUAGAAUUUCUAAACGUCGUAAUGCCUUUGGUGCUCCCGGCCUUUAAGUAAGAGGGACCCAGGUCCCCAGAUCUUUGACCUCAAAUCGGAUGAGGAUACCCGCUGAACUUAA
RNAcentral lists this unclassified non-coding RNA (306 nucleotides) under uncultured fungus. RNAcentral describes it as "sequence contains ITS2". The record is from RNAcentral. Lineage: Eukaryota; Fungi.